UCAUAUUCUUUCAGAACAUUUAAGUUAAGGAAAAGAAUGGAAUUGGCUUGAGAAAUAUUGUCCUGAAUAGCAGCAUCCAAUUCCUCAAUUGUUGUGGGCAUCUCAUAAAAUGCCUUUGCAAGUCCUGGAGUGAUAACAGCAAUUGAUUCUGCAUGCCUCUUGGCAGCUGAAAGUUGCUCUUGACGAUCAUCCACCUCCUUCUUGCCUUUGCAUCAAAUUCAAUGGAGGCCAUAAGUUUUUCAGCAAGACACCGUUUGUAUCUAGCAGCCUCAAUAAGUAAAUUCUUAAUAGCACUUGCAUGUUGGAGCUGCUGAAUCUUAAUUUUCACAGCCUCAUCUAUAAGCUUUGCCAUGCUGGUAUCCAGGUCAUCCUCCUUCUCCACUGAUUCAAGUUUCCUUUUCUUUUGAUCAAGUUGGUUCUCCAAUUCACGCCGUGUUCUCUUCUUAUUUUGUGCAACACUGAUAAGCUCCUCCCUUUGUUUUUGAAGAUUAGCUCCUUCAUUCUCUAAGUGCCUUUGCUCCAUCAGUAGCAAUUUAAAACUUUCUUCUAAAGCAUUAACAGAUUUUUCUAGCUCCUCUUUCCUACACCUCUGCUUUUCAAUUUCUCCAGCAUCUGAACCUAAUGUCAAACAAAAACUGACAGCUUAGAUAAUUCAGACAGCAUUUGGAUAAUAGUUGAUUUAGAGAAACUUCACAAGCACAUACUACAAAGUAGAAGACAUGAAUGAUACAGAUUCAACGCUUGCAGAUAAAUGACCACCAUAUCUAGAGGAAGACCAACAAUAGUAGUUCUCAGGAGUCCAGAAAUCAAAAAUAUUCAACUUUGCUACAUCAUCAGCCUUCUUAUCAGUUUCCUUCGACCCAAUAUACUGAUGAAAAUAAAUAAAUGUAAGAAUUAUGUGUAUCCAGAGGGGAAAAAGAAGUAAAAACAAAAUUACAAAGCUCCACAGAUGAGAUUUCUUUUUUAAUGACCCAAGCUUGCGAGGAUUUGACCCAUUGACAAAUAAUAAUAAAAUAAGUUUAGGAAGCAUACUGAUCUGUCCAGACCACAUUGGCUGAUCAAAACCUCCUUGACAGCAUCAGGAGCAUCAAAAACUUGGUCAAGUCGGGUAUAGAUGCCAAGCUCAUGCAUCUGCUCAACAAAGUGGCCAGAAAUCCAAAAUAAGAUAAUCUAACUUGUUAAGUGCAUCAUGCACUACAGGCACAAGUUGCAUAUACCUUCUAAGAAACUUGAAAGGGAUCCUUAAGAUGGUGUUCAUCCCUCACAUAGUUUAAAAUUGGAACAUCAAAUGACUUCAAGUUCCUUACUAAAAAGUCUCGAUCGCUAGGAUCUUGGGUUAUGAAGGACUUCCAGAUAUAAUAUGGGACGUGACCUUCUAAGUAGUCCGCAUGCACCCGAUCCGGAACAUUAACCUCAAGCAACACAGGACCAUAAACCUCCUUCUUCAACUCAUUUUUAUGUUGUUGCAACCACUGAUAAGCAUCAAUUAUUCUUUCAGCUCCAGAGUUUCUUAACGCCUGUAAAAGCUUAUAUUUUGUAUUCUCCAUAUCCUUCAGCCGGUCUAAGCAUUGCCUCAAUGCCAUUUUCUUUUGAUUUAGAAGCUUCUCCUUCUCUGACUUCUGUAUCCUCUUUUGAUUUGCAGAAAUUUGUAGCUCUGUAAUCUUAGAACCUAAUCUUUCAAGUACAUCCCUUGGAGGUUCAUAAUUAGGCAGGUUUUCAAGUUCUAUUUUAGCAGAAGCAAGUUCCUCCUUAGCUUUAAGGAUUCUCUGCUGACGGAAUUCUUCUUGCCUCUUCAAAUCUUCCAUUUCACUGUAUUUCCCCUCUAAUUGCACCCCCAAAUGGUUUUCCUUCUCCUGAAGUUCCAUACGUUGCUUAGCAUUGUCCUGUAUGAGAUUGGUGACUUUUUUACAUUUAGAAUCCAGCAGGCAUUUCUCCUGCUUUUGUUUUUCAAUGGGUUCUUUGAGAUCCUUCAAAGUUUUGGCAGCUUCAUCCAACUUCUUUUUGGCAUCCUUUUCCAGCUCUUUAGCUUCCAUAUAUUCAGCCUUUUUCAUGUCAUACUUCAGCCAUGGCAAUUUCUUUUUCAUGGAUUCAACCUUUGCCAGAAGUUCUUCUCUUUGGCGGACACGCUCUACAUCCUUUUCAAGUUCAGCAUUUAGGGCCUUCUCCUGAUCCAGGGUUUCUCCAUUCCUCAUAACAGCCACUUCAAUACUCUUUAGUUCACGGCUUUUUUCAACAAGUGCACGGUGUUGAAUAGGAAGUUGAGGAUCACCGACGGCCUUUUCAGUCUCUUCUAGAAGUUGAACAGGAGUCAACUUUGCAAACUCACAUACUCUGUCUUGUGGCAAGAAUUGAGUCAAAUUGUUGAUUUGGAUGUUGAACCUCUGAAUUACUUCAACUAUAUCUUUCUUAGGUACCACUUUUCCAUUGUACAACCAUUCCGACUUGUUAUGUGUAUCAAUUUUGCGCAUGAUGGUGAUCCGGUCAUCUUUAGUGGUUCCUCUCAAGGAUAUUUUAAUGUACCCAGCCUCCUCUCCACGUUUCACAUAUGCUCCAAUACUUGUUGCCCUUCCAAGCAGCUGAGGGUCACCACCAAGACCCAGCGCAAUGGCGCACACAAUGGAGCUCUUACCCGACCCAUUUGGUCCAAUUACAAGGUUCAAGCGUGGUCCUGGUUUGCAAAACAAGUAAUCAUAGGUCAUGAAGUUGCACAGCUCCAUCUCAAUUAUGUUCCCAGGCAGAUAGUCAUCAUUCCCUCGAACAAUUUUAGCACGUUUCGAGGUUAAUGGAGGGUCGUCAGCUGUUGAAGAUCGUUUCAUUGUCUCCGCUUGUUUCUUCACCAGAAUUUUGCAAUUCUCAGAUUCCAGUCAAAGUCUCUGCGUAAAACCCUAGACCCACAAGAGCUCAGCUAGGGUUUCACGCAGAGAGUACACACAGAGUC
This 2938-nucleotide unclassified non-coding RNA is filed under the name Hevea brasiliensis (rubber tree). The record is from RNAcentral. Lineage: Eukaryota; Viridiplantae; Streptophyta; Magnoliopsida; Malpighiales; Euphorbiaceae.